Myotis davidii is the source of this 75-nucleotide non-coding RNA. The record is from Rfam. NCBI's taxonomy places the organism in Eukaryota, Metazoa, Chordata, Mammalia, Chiroptera, Vespertilionidae.
GGCUGUUUUCGAGUGACACACCCCAGAAUCGAGCUUCUUCCUCUCUGGUUCUGGGUGCACUACUGGAGAAAUGCA